GACGAACGCUGGCGGCGUGCUUAACACAUGCAAGUCGAACGCUGAAGCUCAGCUUUUGUUGGGUGGAUGAGUGGCGAACGGGUGAGUAACACGUGAGUAACCUGCCUCCUUCUUUGGGAUAACGCCCGGAAACGGGUGCUAAUACUGGAUAUUCACUGGUCUUCGCAUGGGGGUUGGUGGAAAGGGUUUUUCUGGUGGGGGAUGGGCGCGCGGCCUAUCAGCUUGUUGGUGGGGUGAUGGCCUACCAAGGCUUUGACGGGUAGCAGGGCUGAGAGGGUGACCGGUCACAUUGGGACUGAGAUACGGCCCAGACUCCUACGGGAGGCAGCAGUGGGGAAUAUUGCACAAUGGGCGCUAGCCUGAUGCCGCGACGCCGCGUGAGGGAUGGAGGCCUUCGGGUUGUGAACCUCUUUCGCUCAUGGUCAAGCCGCAACAAUGGUUGUGGUGAGGUUAGUGGGUAAAGAAGCGCCGGCUAACUACGUG
RNAcentral lists this ribosomal RNA (483 nucleotides) under uncultured bacterium. Its description in RNAcentral is "partial 16S ribosomal RNA". It matches the Rfam family "Bacterial small subunit ribosomal RNA", at positions 28 to 507 of the family's 1533-position model. The record is from RNAcentral.